RNAcentral lists this ribosomal RNA (113 nucleotides) under Kiritimatiellia bacterium. Its description in RNAcentral is "Kiritimatiellae bacterium (gut metagenome) partial 23S ribosomal RNA". It matches the Rfam family "Bacterial large subunit ribosomal RNA", at positions 2814 to 2925 of the family's 2925-position model. Lineage: Bacteria; Pseudomonadati; Kiritimatiellota; Kiritimatiellia. The record is from RNAcentral.
CCACGCGCGAGCGUCUCAAGGCUGGUCGCAGACCACGACCUCGAUAGGCCGGGGGUGCAAGCGCGGCGACGCGCUCAGCCGACCGGUACUAAUCAGCCGUGAGGCUUGGCCGU